CAUUAGAGAGUGCCCUACUCCCAAAACCCAUGUGAACUUACCUGUACGUUGCCUCGGCGGGGGAGGGGCUGGCCACCCCCCCUCCGCCAGGCGGCCCACCAAACCCUGUUUAGCCCUGAAUCUCUGAGACGAUAAAACAAUGAGUUAAAACUUUCAACAACGGAUCUCUUGGCUCUGGCAUCGAUGAAGAACGCAGCGAAAUGCGAUACGUAGUGUGAAUUGCAGAAUUUAGUGAAUCAUCGAAUCUUUGAACGCACAUUGCGCCCGCCAGUAUUCUGGCGGGCAUGCCUGUUCGAGCGUCAUUUCAACCCCUUAAGCCCUUGUCGCUUAGUGUUGGGAGCCGACGGCGUCCUGCCGUCGCUCCUCAAAUCCAGUGGCGGAGCCGGUUUCGCGCUCUGGGCGUAGUAGAUUUUCUCCAUCUCGCCUGCAGCCGGGGCCGGCCUCCCUGCCGUAAAACCACCACCAAUGUACCCAAAGGUUGACCUCGAAUCAGGUAGGAAUACCCGCUGAACUUAAGCAUAUCAAUAAGCGGAGGAAAAGAAACCAACAGGGAUUGCCCCAGUAACGGCGAGUGAAGCGGCAACAGCUCAAAUUUGAAAUCUGGCCCUCGGGUCCGAGUUGUAAUUUGUAGAGGAUGCUUUUGGCGCGGUGCCUUCCGAGUUCCCUGGAACGGGACGCCUUAGAGGGUGAGAGCCCCGUACGGUUGGACACCAAGCCUCUGUAAAGCGCCUUCGACGAGUCGAGUAGUUUGGGAAUGCUGCUCUAAAUGGGAGGUAAAUUUCUUCUAAAGCUAAAUAUUGGCCAGAGACCGAUAGCGCACAAGUAGAGUGAUCGAAAGAUGAAAAGCACUUUGAAAAGAGGGUUAAACAGCACGUGAAAUUGUUGAAAGGGAAGCGUUUGCGACCAGACCUCUCCCCGGCGGAUCAUCCGGCGUUCUCGCCGGUGCACUUCGCCGGGCUGAGGCCAGCAUCGGUUUCCGCGGGGGGACAAAAGCGGGGGGA
This 1001-nucleotide ribosomal RNA is filed under the name Sordariomycetes sp. genotype csw055. RNAcentral describes it as "eukaryotic LSU rRNA". The stretch from base 480 to 1001 matches the Rfam family "Eukaryotic large subunit ribosomal RNA", at positions 1 to 533 of the family's 3401-position model. The record is from RNAcentral. Lineage: Eukaryota; Fungi; Ascomycota; Sordariomycetes.